AAGACGGGUGGAAGCAGGGGGGAAUAUUGGACAAUGGGCGAAAGCCUGAUCCAGCCAUGCCGCGUGUGUGAAGAAGGCCUUCGGGUUGUAAAGCACUUUCAGUGGGGAAGAAAGCCUUGGGGCUAAUACCCUCGAGGAAGGACAUCACCCACAGAAGAAGCACCGGCUAACUCCGUGCCAGCAGCCGCGGUAAUACGGAGGGUGCGAGCGUUAAUCGGAAUUACUGGGCGUAAAGCGCGCGUAGGCGGUCUGAUAAGCCGGUUGUGAAAGCCCCGGGCUCAACCUGGGAACGGCAUCCGGAACUGUCAGGCUAGAGUGCAGGAGAGGAAGGUAGAAUUCCCGGUGUAGCGGUGAAAUGCGUAGAGAUCGGGAGGAAUACCAGUGGCGAAGGCGGUCUUCUGGACUGACACUGACGCUGAGGUGCGAAAGCGUGGGUAGCAAACAGGAUUAAAUACCCGUGUAGUC
Molecule: ribosomal RNA, 465 nt
Filed under: Vreelandella stevensii
Lineage: Bacteria; Pseudomonadati; Pseudomonadota; Gammaproteobacteria; Oceanospirillales; Halomonadaceae
Description: partial 16S ribosomal RNA
Rfam family: Bacterial small subunit ribosomal RNA
Source: RNAcentral